RNAcentral lists this long non-coding RNA (576 nucleotides) under Mytilus galloprovincialis (Mediterranean mussel). The record is from RNAcentral. Lineage: Eukaryota; Metazoa; Mollusca; Bivalvia; Mytilida; Mytilidae.
GGGAGGGUUGGCAUACCACUAAACUAGUUCAACUCCUGUGCCUGUCCCAAGUCAGGAAUUGUGGUCAUAGGUUUGUCUUCGUUGUUUUGAGUUGAAUGUUUUGUUACAUGUACAGCAGGUAAGAGCAGGUAAAUUUUAGGCAUACACGUUUAUUUAUUUGAGACGAUUUAGAGCUUUUCACAAGGAUUGGAAUUCCAACCUUGUUUCCCGCUAACAUGUUUAACCCCGCCACAUUAUUUAUUUAUGUGCCUGUCCCAAGUCAGGAGCCUGUAAUUCAGUGGUUGUCGUUUGUUUAUGUGUUACAUAUUUGUUUUUUCGUUCAUUUUUUUACAUAAAUAAGGCCGUUAGUUUUCUCGCUUGAAUUGUUUUACAUUGUCUUAUCGGGGCCUUUUAUAGCUGACUAUAUGCGGUAUGGGCUUUGCUCAUUGUUGAAGACCGUACGGUGACCUAUAAUUGUUAAUGUUUGUGUCAUUUUGGUCUUUUGUGGAUAGUUGUCUCAUUGGCAAUCAUACCUCAUCUUCUUUUUUAUAUUGUUGAAGGUCUUGUGGAGACUUUAAGAUUUGAUUUUUUUUUCUC